Molecule: ribosomal RNA, 293 nt
Filed under: uncultured bacterium
Lineage: Bacteria
Description: partial 16S ribosomal RNA
Rfam family: Bacterial small subunit ribosomal RNA
Source: RNAcentral
GGAUUAGAUACCCUGGUAGUCCACGCCGUAAACGAUGUCUACUAGCCGUUGGGACUCUUGAAGUCUUAGUGGCGCAGCUAACGCACUAAGUAGACCGCCUGGGGAGUACGGCCGCAAGGUUAAAACUCAAAUGAAUUGACGGGGGCCCGCACAAGCGGUGGAGCAUGUGGUUUAAUUCGAUGCAACGCGAAGAACCUUACCUGGUCUUGACAUCCUCGGAACUUACUAGAGAUAGUUUGUUGCCUUCGUGAACCGAGUGACAGGUGCUGCAUGGCUGUCGUCAGCUCGUGCUG